GUGUCACCAGCAAUAUCUCUGCUUGUGCUGCUGCUUGUGCUGCUGCUUGUGCUGCUGCUCGUGCUGCUGCUUGUGCUGCUGCUUGUGCUGCUGCUUGUGCUGCUGCUUGUGCUGCUGCUUGUGCUACUGCUUGUGCUGUUAUUGGUGCAUCAUUUGACGGUUGUCGUUCGCGACUGUCUCAUAACGAAGCUUCACUUGCCGCAAGUUGUGGGCGUUGCACGAGAAACGCUGUACCUGGAGUCACCAAGUACGCGCGGCAAUCGUGACCGGUACACAGAAGUGAGCGUAGCGCGUGAAGACCUUGUUCGGUCAAGUGCGGUGCUGGAGCAACGGGCGCCAAGCUGGGAGCCAAAGCGACUCUGCCUGGGCGCUUGGAGCUUGUCGUCAACGCGCGGAGCCAGUUUUGUAGCUGGGAAUUUUGCACGUGACUGGCUACUAGCACGUUGCGCUGCCGGAGAACUAGCUCUGUGAUACGUUGCACAAGAAGCGCGUUCUAGGUACUGGGCUCGAGCUGGCGACAAACUGGUCCUUCAAUGUGCGCGGUGUCGAGCUACGUGUGUGUGCCCAAGGUACGCCUUGCUUAGGCGGUGCACGUCGAACAACGGGCACGCGAGAGCGUUGGUAUCAACAGCCAACGUGUCGCGCUGAUCUUCAACGCUUUCUUUGCUGUCGUUGCACAUGCACGACUGGCACACUCCCGCUUACCCGGCACAAGUAUCGCUAGACGAAGACAGCAACCCGCACGCGAGCUGUACUUGCGAGAGCGACCAUAUGUUUGCGUCUUGCUGAGCCUUGCGAUGGCAACGCCUGUUGGUCAACUUGAUUCCUGUGUCGCCGUGAGAACAAAGCACACCAUGAUGCAUCGCGUAAAACAUCAAAAGGUGCAGCUUGCUUCGAAUACCGCAUCCAUGCGCAUAGGACGAGCCUCACUCGUGUCUCCAACUUGCUCGAUCGACAGACGAUAAGCAACGUGACUCGUGUUUUGCAGGGCAUCGGGACGCUAGCUGAGUUGAAUGAGUGCGCAACUACCUGCUCGGUAACUGAUAACAUCAUGACACGGCGAACGUGGCAAUGGGAGCACGUCCGUCGUAUGAAAUCAGCGCAAGAAUCACCGCUGCCAGAAUACUGGUAUCGACAGCAGCUUCAUCGCAUAAUCUGGCACACAUUACGGUUAUGUUGCCUCUGGUGUUUCUCUGGAGCGAUUCCGAGCACUGGUGAGACGCGAGUCUGGCAAGAAGGUUACCGGCUCCGUGCAAGGAUGUCCGGGCGUCCUGACGCAUGUUCGCGGGGCGCUCGAUGACCAUGCUAUCGACAAUCGGUGCGUGGAUACCAGAGCGAAUGAGUGUGUGGGUGGUUAGGUUUGCUCCGUAGUGAGACGGCGUGCGUUUGUCGGACUCGCACAGGAUGUGCACGGUGGUAGAGGCAGCGCCCUGAACGAGUGUCCUGGCGGGGCGCUCGUCUACAUGAUUGUUUGCGCAGACACGCCCCAAAGAUGCCGCGUAUAGCAAGGAAGGAUAUGGUGCUGGGGGGUACUGCUAUGAGCGCGCGCGCUCAGUCGCUCGCCCUCGACUCAUGGCAGACUGAAAAGAACCACAUAACUGCGCGCUUUUGUUCCUGGUCUUCGAGGUUCUCGGACUGUUUUUUGACCUGCAGACUUGAGACUAAAAGUCCGCCAGUACGAACGUUCCGACGUAUUCGUAGUUUUAGGAUUCUGGGUCGAAUGUUCGAAGUGGUUUAUUCAACGCCUUGCCGCUAGAAUUUGGUACACCAUCGGAUUCUUCAUGAUUCGGGAUGCUCUUAUACGAGGCCUUUCAAAAGACUCUAUUUCAUGGUCCAGUGGAUACGCAGGAGCCUCGGCUUGUCUCCUUUCCUCCGAAGCAGCGUGCGCAUAUCACGCAUGGUUCAUGUUUCCAAACUCCCUGGGCCAAGGUAUUGCGAAGGCGCAACAAUGCCUUCUGUUGCAAUGACCAUGGAUAAACUGGGCGCCGUCCUUUCUCGAUUUCUCCACAAGCUCAAACAUAAAAGUUCAU
This 2030-nucleotide unclassified non-coding RNA is filed under the name Cyanidioschyzon merolae strain 10D. RNAcentral's name for it is "hypothetical transcript". The record is from RNAcentral. Lineage: Eukaryota; Rhodophyta; Bangiophyceae; Cyanidiales; Cyanidiaceae.